Ailuropoda melanoleuca (giant panda) is the source of this 1976-nucleotide long non-coding RNA. RefSeq lists it as uncharacterized. The transcript is spliced from 3 exons. Lineage: Eukaryota; Metazoa; Chordata; Mammalia; Carnivora; Ursidae. The record is from RefSeq and is a predicted model, not a curated record.
CUCUUGAAUUCCGUCCGGUAAGAGGGUGAGGCUCCACAGGCCUCAGGGCCACACGGUCCUAGAGUGGCAGAGUUGGGCCUUUGCAAGGACUCUGAGUCCCAUUCCCCUCCUACUAACAGAUGGGAGAAUUGAGUCCCAGAUAGCGGAGGGGUAGGGAAUUCUUGCCUAAGAUCGCACAGCUCAAGACCUGGCUCAACUGAGUCCAGUAUGAGAAUGAUUGAGACAAUUCCCUCCCACCCCCAGAGUGCUUAGCACAGUAGCCUGUACAAAGUAAGUGCACAAUAAAUGGUAGCUGCUGUUUAUUAUUAAACCCAGUCUUCUGACUCUGAGCCCAGUGCUGUCUCCUUUGUUAUCCUCCCAAAGUGUACCUCUCCUAGGUGCUCAUCAGCCUUCAGUGACUUCCUGUUGCCAUUCUGAUGAAGUCUAAGCUUCUUGGCCUGACAUUCAAAGAUCCUUCUGAUUCUGUCCCAGCCUAUCAUGCCCGGGUAGCUGAGCUCUGCUGGAGAAAACCACAUAGCACUGCGGAUUGCUGCCACUAUGGAGCUUCCUCGAGCAUCCAGCAGGGCCCCCUUGACCUGAGGUGCAGCCCUCGUGAACCGAUCUGCAGCUACACUCAACCAUCUCGCCAGUCUCAGGAUGAGGUGGCCUUGCCCCGCUUCAAAGCCUGCUCCUCCACCUGUGCUCUGGAGCCACGUCUGCCAGCAUCACUGGGUCCUCGACCCUGCCUCUCACUUGCUCUCCUGGCUCUUGCUCUUCAACUUAUGAAUGUGUCUCAGUUUUUUUCAUCUUAAAAUAACAGUAACAUUAGCAAAAUCUCCUUUGACCCAGCAUCCCUAUGGUGGGUAAUCAGCAGUGUAUCAAUCCCCCCCUCCACCACCAUCAGAACAUCUCAAAAGAGUAGUCUACACUCAGCAGUCUUGAUUUCCUCACUAUCGUCUUAAUUCCUCAACCUGUUGCAAUUUGGCAUUUACCCCGAAAACUGCUUUGACCUCCUAAUUAACCAAAUCCAGUGAGCUCUUGUCCAUUGCUGUGUCUGCUGCAUUAAUGGCUAUUUACUACUCUCUCCUUUCAGUGCCUGGGCUUUUUUCCCCAGUUCCUAUAAAGUGCCAAGGCCCAAAUCUCUUUAUCUAUCCCAGGCUUCUCCCCCAAGAUUCAGCCUCCUGUAUUUGAUUAUAUGUCAGACAUCUCCCCACGGAUGGCCGACAGUUACUUUACUGUGACCAGAAGAGAAUUGGUCAUCUUACUCUCAACCCCAAUCCCAAAGUGAUCUCCUCUUUUGCUCCCUAUCUCUCUUGGUGGUAUCACUAUCUAUGCUAUUACGUUGACUCUCAAGCACCUCCCAAAUCUGAGAUUUUGUGUUGCCAUGUAUACUUCCCAUAGUGUCUCCUUCCCUCUAUCAGACUUAAGUUUUUCAAAGGUAAGAGCUCUGUAUUAGCCAUCUGUGCCCUAAACCACCACACAAAUCCAGGCCCUAAACAGACCUCAGUAAACAUCGUUGAACCAGAGUGUAGUGCUCUCUUUGGUGGGAGCUAAAUUUGUGCUUGGGGACUGAAUGAAGUGGGAGUCUAGAUGCCAAGACCCUCUUAGUCCCCUGAUCCCUCCAUAGAGUCGGAAAGUCAUUCUUGAACCCUAAUGGAAUUUAGGGCACGGUAGUAGUUUAUAAGAGAAAAAAAUAUAGCUUUGUAGACAAAGUAAGCCAGGGCAAGAACUCCAGGACAUGGAACUGAACCAAACAGCCAAAUAUCCAGAUGUGUAUGCUCUAGACUAGAAGUGAUAUGGAUGGGUGGGUAACUGGGAGGAGAACCAAAAGACUUGGAGGGGUUAGGAAAGCAUGAUAGGUCAUUUGAGCAAUUCCAGGAGGAGAAUAAACGAUGUUUCAAAGUCUAGAAAGACCAUGGUGUGUGAAUGUAAUGGGGGGAGGGAGUGAAAAGAGCAGCAUGGAGAGGUUUGGAUAGGUGGCCUUCAAGGUACUUUCC